GCAUAUCAAUAAGCGGAGGAAAAGAAACCAACAGGGAUUGCCUUAGUAACGGCGAAGUGAAGCGGCAACAGCUCAAAUUUGAAAUCUGGUUACUUCGUAGCCCGAGUUGUAAUUUGUAGAGGAUGCUUUUGGUGAGGUGCUUUCUGAGUUCCCUGGAACGGGACGCCAAAGAGGGUGAGAGCCCCGUACAGUUAGAUACCAAUCCUUUGUAUAGCUCCUUCGACGAGUCGAGUAGUUUGGGAAUGCUGCUCUAAAUGGGAGGUAUAUCUCUUCUAAAGCUAAAUAUAGGCUAGAGACCGAUAGCGCACAAGUAGAGUGAUCGAAAGAUGAAAAGCACUUUGAAAAGAGAGUUAAACAGCACGUGAAAUUGUUGAAAGGGAAGCGCCUAUGACCAGACUUGUUUCUAUCAGUUUUGGUAGUUUUCGGACUGCUUUACUCUGUUAGUACAGGCCAACAUCAGUUUGUUGUCGGGGAGAAAGGUUUAGGGAAUGUGGCUCUUUCGGGAGUGUUAUAGCCCUUUACAUAAUACCCUUCGGCAGACUGAGGACCGCGCUUCGGCAAGGAUGUUGGCGUAAUGGUCAUCAGCGACCCGUCUUGAAACACGGACCAAGGAGUCAACCUUAUAUGCGAGUGUUUGGGUGUUAAACCCCAGCGCGUAAUGAACGUGAACGUAGGUGAGAGCUUCGGCGCAUCAUCGACCGAUUCUGAUGUUCUCGGAUGGAUUUGAGUAAGAGCAUAUAGGGUUGGACCCGAAAGAAGGUGAACUAUGCUUGUAUAGGGUGAAGCCAGAGGAAACUCUGGUGGAGGCUCGCAGCGGUUCUGACGUGCAAAUCGAUCGUCAAAUAUGAGCAUGGGGGGCGAAAGACUAAUCGAAACCUUCUAGUAGCUGGUUCCAGCCCGAA
Molecule: ribosomal RNA, 902 nt
Filed under: Huntiella moniliformis
Lineage: Eukaryota; Fungi; Ascomycota; Sordariomycetes; Microascales; Ceratocystidaceae
Description: LSU rRNA
Rfam family: Eukaryotic large subunit ribosomal RNA
Source: RNAcentral